RNAcentral lists this non-coding RNA (240 nucleotides) under Erinaceus europaeus (western European hedgehog). Its description in RNAcentral is "Eukaryotic small subunit ribosomal RNA". It matches the Rfam family "Eukaryotic small subunit ribosomal RNA", at positions 1225 to 1478 of the family's 1831-position model. The record is from Rfam by way of RNAcentral. Lineage: Eukaryota; Metazoa; Chordata; Mammalia; Eulipotyphla; Erinaceidae.
CGGACACGGACAGGAUUGACAGAUUGAUAGCUCUUUCUUGAUUCCGUGGGUGGUGGUGCAUGGCCGUUCUUAGUUGGUGGAGUGAUUUGUCUGGUUAAUUCCAAUAACGAAUGAGACUCUGGCAUGCAUGCUAACUAGUUACGUGACUCCUGAGCGGUCAACAUCCCCCAACUUCUUAGGGGCCAAGUGGCGUUCAGCCACCCGAGAUUGAGCAAUAACAGGUCUGUGAUGCCCUUAGAU